GCAAUGGUGGUUCAGUGGUAGAAUUCUUGCUUUCCACACAGGAGACCUGGGUUCAGUUCCAACCAGUGCA
This 70-nucleotide transfer RNA is filed under the name Loxodonta africana (African savanna elephant). It matches the Rfam family "tRNA". From Rfam's summary of the family: Transfer RNA (tRNA) molecules are approximately 80 nucleotides in length. Their secondary structure includes four short double-helical elements and three loops (D, anti-codon, and T loops). The record is from Rfam by way of RNAcentral. Lineage: Eukaryota; Metazoa; Chordata; Mammalia; Proboscidea; Elephantidae.